CGCGGGGUGGAGCAGUCUGGAGCUCGUCGGGCUCAUAACCCGAAGGUCGCAGGUUCAAAUCCUGCCCCCGCAA
This 73-nucleotide transfer RNA is filed under the name Clostridium sp. AF21-20LB. RNAcentral describes it as "tRNA-Met". It matches the Rfam family "tRNA". From Rfam's summary of the family: Transfer RNA (tRNA) molecules are approximately 80 nucleotides in length. Their secondary structure includes four short double-helical elements and three loops (D, anti-codon, and T loops). Further hydrogen bonds mediate the characteristic L-shaped molecular structure. tRNAs have two regions of fundamental functional importance: the anti-codon, which is responsible for specific mRNA codon recognition, and the 3' end, to which the tRNAs corresponding amino acid is attached (by aminoacyl-tRNA synthetases). tRNAs cope with the degeneracy of the genetic code in two manners: having more than one tRNA (with a specific anti-codon) for a particular amino acid; and 'wobble' base-pairing, i.e. permitting non-standard base-pairing at the 3rd anti-codon position. Lineage: Bacteria; Bacillati; Bacillota; Clostridia; Eubacteriales; Clostridiaceae. RNAcentral also lists the same sequence under 1 other name. The record is from RNAcentral.